RNAcentral lists this unclassified non-coding RNA (391 nucleotides) under soil metagenome. RNAcentral's name for it is "partial contains 5.8S ribosomal RNA, internal transcribed spacer 2, and large subunit ribosomal RNA". The stretch from base 1 to 122 matches the Rfam family "5.8S ribosomal RNA", at positions 35 to 154 of the family's 154-position model. The record is from RNAcentral.
GAUGAAGAACGUAGCAAAAUGCGAUACUUGGUGUGAAUUGCAGAAUCCCGUGAACCAUCGAGUCUUUGAACGCAAGUUGCGCCCGAAGCCAUUAGGCCGAGGGCACGCCUGCCUGGGCGUCACACGUCGUUGCCCCCCCAUCUACUCCUUCGGGAUUGCGGGGGGCGGAUGAUGGACUCUCGUGCGCCUCGUCGCGCGGUUGGCCUAAAUGCCAAGUCCUCGGCGACGCACGCCACGACAAUCGGUGGUUGCGAAACCUCGGUUGCCUGUCGUGUGCGGUCGUCGCGCAUCGAGGGCUCGAAAAAAUUGCCGGGCUUCGGCUCGACUUUCAACGCGACCCCAGGUCAGGCGGGGUUACCCGCUGAAUUUAAGCAUAUCAAUAAGCGGAGGA